GACGAACGCUGGCGGCGUGCCUAAUACAUGCAAGUAGAACGCUGAAGACUUUAGCUUGCUAAAGUUGGAAGAGUUGCGAACGGGUGAGUAACGCGUAGGUAACCUGCCUACUAGCGGGGGAUAACUAUUGGAAACGAUAGCUAAUACCGCAUAACAGCAUUUAACCCAUGUUAGAUGCUUGAAAGGAGCAAUUGCUUCACUAGUAGAUGGACCUGCGUUGUAUUAGCUAGUUGGUGAGGUAACGGCUCACCAAGGCGACGAUACAUAGCCGACCUGAGAGGGUGAUCGGCCACACUGGGACUGAGACACGGCCCAGACUCCUACGGGAGGCAGCAGUAGGGAAUCUUCGGCAAUGGGGGCAACCCUGACCGAGCAACGCCGCGUGAGUGAAGAAGGUUUUCGGAUCGUAAAGCUCUGUUGUAAGAGAAGAACGUGUGUGAGAGUGGAAAGUUCACACAGUGACGGUAACUUACCAGAAAGGGACGGCUAACUACGUGCCAGCCGCCGCCGUAACAC
Molecule: ribosomal RNA, 516 nt
Filed under: uncultured bacterium
Lineage: Bacteria
Description: bacterial SSU rRNA
Rfam family: Bacterial small subunit ribosomal RNA
Source: RNAcentral